RNAcentral lists this ribosomal RNA (205 nucleotides) under Marichromatium sp. JA498. Its description in RNAcentral is "partial 16S ribosomal RNA". It matches the Rfam family "Bacterial small subunit ribosomal RNA", at positions 1124 to 1328 of the family's 1533-position model. Lineage: Bacteria; Pseudomonadati; Pseudomonadota; Gammaproteobacteria; Chromatiales; Chromatiaceae. The record is from RNAcentral.
CGUCAUGGUGGGAACUCUAAGGAGACUGCCGGUGAUAAACCGGAGGAAGGUGGGGAUGACGUCAAGUCAUCAUGGCCCUUAUGGGCUGGGCUACACACGUGCUACAAUGGUCGGUACAGAGGGUUGCAAAGCGGCGACGUGGAGCUAAUCUCAGAAAACCGGUCGUAGUCCGGAUUGCAGUCUGCAACUCGACUGCAUGAAGUCG